GGCCCCAUCGUCUAGCGGUUAGGACACCGGCUUUUCACGCCGGCAACGGGGGUUCGAUUCCCCCUGGGGUCA
Molecule: transfer RNA, 72 nt
Filed under: Planctomycetota bacterium
Lineage: Bacteria; Pseudomonadati; Planctomycetota
Also listed under: 1 other name
Description: tRNA-Glu
Rfam family: tRNA
About the family: Transfer RNA (tRNA) molecules are approximately 80 nucleotides in length. Their secondary structure includes four short double-helical elements and three loops (D, anti-codon, and T loops).
Source: RNAcentral